AAUUCCGCGGACGUCCUACGGGAGAAAGCAUGGGACCUGCGGGCCUUGCUCUAUUGGAUCAGCCUAGGUCGGAUUGGCUAGUUGGUGACGUAAUGGCUCACCCAUGCUACCACCCGCAACUGGGCUGACAACAUGAGGCCCCAGCCAUUAAAUCAGAUGGCUCCCCCACUCCUUCAGGAGGCAGCAGUGGGGAAUAUUGAAAAAUGGGCCAAAGGUUGAUCCAGCCAUGCCGCCUGAAGAACAAGGUCUUCGGAUUGUGAGCACUUUGACUUGGGAGGAAGGGCACUUUCUUAAUACGUCACUGUUUUGACGUUACCGACAGAAUAAGCACCGGCUAACUCUGUGCCAGCAGCCGCGGUAAUACAGAGGGUGCAAGCGUUAAUCGUAAUUACUGGGC
Molecule: ribosomal RNA, 397 nt
Filed under: Pseudomonas costantinii
Lineage: Bacteria; Pseudomonadati; Pseudomonadota; Gammaproteobacteria; Pseudomonadales; Pseudomonadaceae
Description: bacterial SSU rRNA
Rfam family: Bacterial small subunit ribosomal RNA
Source: RNAcentral